This 493-nucleotide ribosomal RNA is filed under the name uncultured bacterium. RNAcentral describes it as "partial 16S ribosomal RNA". It matches the Rfam family "Bacterial small subunit ribosomal RNA", at positions 30 to 523 of the family's 1533-position model. The record is from RNAcentral.
AUUGAACGCUGGCGGCAUGCUUUACACAUGCAAGUCGAACGGUAACAGGUUAAGCUGACGAGUGGCGAACGGGUGAGUAAUGCAUCGGAACGUGCCCGGUCGUGGGGGAUAACGCAGCGAAAGCUGCGCUAAUACCGCAUACGAUCUGAGGAUGAAAGCGGGGGAUCGCAAGACCUCGCGCGAUUGGAGCGGCCGAUAUCAGAUUAGGUAGUUGGUGGGGUAAAGGCUAACCAAGCCGACGAUCUGUAGCUGGUCUGAGAGGACGACCAGCCACACUGGGACUGAGAAACGGCCCAGACUCCUACGGGAGGCAGCAGUGGGGAAUUUUGGACAAUGGGCGAAAGCCUGAUCCAGCCAUGCCGCGUGCAGGAUGAAGGCCUUCGGGUUGUAAACUGCUUUUGUACGGAACGAAAAGGUUUGGGCUAAUAAGCUGAGCUCAUGACGGUACCGUAAGAAUAAGCACCGGCUAACUACGUGCCAGCAGCCGCCGUAA